CGCAGCGAGGUGGCGAAGUCUCUAAAAACCUCCGGCCCAAAAUGCAGAAUGAUCCAGCUGUGCAUGACCCAUCUGUCCCGGCAGGGCAGAGAACGCAGAGGGCCACCCACCGCCAUGUCAGCCGGCGUGUUACACGCCAACGGCAACAGAAAUGCGACCGAAAGAUGUUUGUUUGUUUACUGGUGAGGUCGUUGAUUGGCUGGUUGUGUGGUGGCCCCCGAUACACAGCUGACGCGCGCCUUGUUAAGACCGAGAUAAGGCGGGAUGCGUAACGGCAACUGUCUGCGCAUAUUUCACAAAAUUUUUGUGCCUGUUAGCGUGGCAUGUGCUACAUUUCUGCCAGCCUGCUUUUCGUCGCAGGAACCUUUGAAGCAUGCUCUGAAAGGUCACCAGCACUGCCCUGCAGCGGGCGGGACAUCAGGCAGGAUUGUUACCACGUGGGAACCAUUUUCCCUGUUGUGACGACGUGGAGGCGUACGUGACAUCUGAAAAUGCUCCUUGAAAGCGACGGAUCUUCAAAGUGAGCUGGGAUGUGAAGCGACCAGGCAGCCUGGGUGUUCCCCAGGCGCAGGAGGGUUUUGCCAGUGGCGCACGGACGCAGCUCGACCGAUGGGUCGCUGCCGGUUUCGGCAUCAGAGGUUAUGCCACACGUUGUGCACCCACGUGACAGACUGCGCCUACGGCUUCAAAGGGGAGUGACGCCAUCACUCCCGACGUGAGAGAAGUGAUAAACUUUCCACUUUUCACUUUCCACAUACGAAGCGCCCGCGCCGCAUGCAAAGGGUCGGGGACCCGCUUCCUCUAGCCGCCUUUUUGUCGUCGCCGUUGGCAGAGCUUCCCGCUGCCAGCCGGACGAACAUCUGGUACGUCGGCACCAUGUGUGAAAAUGCCUUUGGAACAAAUACUGCAAGGAGGCCGUUAAUCUGAUGAGGAUGUAAGGGCGAUGAGGGCUCGCCCUUUACAGGUGGAGAACUCUUCCAGCGCAGCUGUUGUUGGCGGAAGCAAGAAAGCGAGGCAGCCAAGCCCCGUGCCCUGGGGGGGCGGGGGGGGGGACUUUCGUCCUCUAUGUCCCUUCAUCUGCAAAACAAAAACUUUCAUCGCUGCAUGCGCCACCCCCACACUUUUGAUUUUUUUAAAUAGAACAGACGGACCAAACAAAGGAGAAAAAAGCAUGCAAGAGGUCAAACAGGGAUAGCAUGAGCAGCAAGCAGCAUGAUUGUUAAGAGGAUAGACAUCUAACCUAAAAGUCAUGGGUUCGAGUCCUAAGUGAGGAGAACCCUGCUGUUGGACCCACAAGAGUAUUUCGCGCCUAGAUUACUUCAGUGAUCCUUAUCUUUAUAAAAAUUUGUCAAAAACACAAACAUUUACACAUGAGAAGUUUUCAUACUUAAUUUGGGUGCUUACUGUUGCGUUAUGAGCUCUCCAGGCGUUUCCUGUUUGUGGCCGGUGCAAAGAUAACAUGAGGACGACCACAGAACACCUGCAGGUGCUGAUGAGAGAGCUAGAUCCUCAAGUACCACGCUGAGUGGGAUUAUCACCAGGCAUCGGUCACUGACGAGCUCAGUCCUCUCCUCAUUGGUUACUUCAUUGGCUCCCUUAUGCUUAACCCAGACUGCAAUCGGCAGCACAUGACAAAUUCCACCCGCAGUGGGUUGUGAAGCUUCAUUUCUCUCAUCAGAUCAUCCCACCAGCUUCUUUCUGUUACCACUGCUGUGACAUGGCAGCGACUCACGUAGUUGUGAUUAAAGAGCCGUCCGCCUGCCAAAAAGCAGGAAUAAAGGCAGGGCGCUACCACGCGCAUUUUAUGGAAAGCUUCCUCAGC
Long non-coding RNA from Brienomyrus brachyistius, 1822 nucleotides. RefSeq lists it as uncharacterized. The record is from RefSeq and is a predicted model, not a curated record. Lineage: Eukaryota; Metazoa; Chordata; Actinopteri; Osteoglossiformes; Mormyridae. The transcript has 3 exons.